RNAcentral lists this ribosomal RNA (440 nucleotides) under uncultured bacterium. Its description in RNAcentral is "partial 16S ribosomal RNA". It matches the Rfam family "Bacterial small subunit ribosomal RNA", at positions 338 to 795 of the family's 1533-position model. The record is from RNAcentral.
CCUACGGGAGGCAGCAGUGGGGAAUAUUGCACAAUGGGGGAAACCCUGAUGCAGCGACGCCGCGUGAGUGAAGAAGUAUUUCGGUACGUAAAGCUCUAUCAGCAGGGAAGAAAAUGACGGUACCUGACUAAGAAGCCCCGGCUAACUACGUGCCAGCAGCCGCGGUAAUACGUAGGGGGCAAGCGUUAUCCGGAUUUACUGGGUGUAAAGGGAGCGUAGACGGCAGCGCAAGUCUGGAGUGAAAUCCCAUGGCUUAACCAUGGAACUGCUUUGGAAACUGUGCAGCUAGAGUGCAGGAGAGGUAAGCGGAAUUCCUAGUGUAGCGGUGAAAUGCGUAGAUAUUAGGAGGAACACCAGUGGCGAAGGCGGCUUACUGGACUGUAACUGACGUCGAGGCUCGAAAGCGUGGGGAGCAAACAGGAUUAGAUACCCUAGUAGUC